This 414-nucleotide ribosomal RNA is filed under the name uncultured microorganism. RNAcentral's name for it is "bacterial SSU rRNA". It matches the Rfam family "Archaeal small subunit ribosomal RNA", at positions 459 to 872 of the family's 1478-position model. The record is from RNAcentral.
CAGCAGCCGCGGUAAUACCGGCGGCCCGAGUGGCGGUCACUAUUAUUGGGCUUAAAGCGUCCGUAGCCGGGUUGGGAAGUCCUCCGGGAAAUCUGGCCGCUUAACGGUCAGAAUGCCGGAGGAUACUCCCAGCCUAGGGGGCGGGAGAGGCCGAGGGGAUUCCCGGAGUAGGGGUGGAAUCCUAUAAUCCCGGGAGGACCACCUGUGGCGAAGGCGCUCGGCUGGAACGCGUCCGACGGUGAGGGACGAAGGCCAGGGGAGCAAACCGGAUUAGAUACCCGGGUAGUCCUGGCUGUAAACGAUGCGGACUUUGUGUCGGACAAGCUAUGAGCUUGUCCGGUGCCGGAGGGAAACCGUUAAGUCCGCCGCCUGGGGAGUACGGCCGCAAGGCUGAAACUUAAAGGAAUUGGCGGG